This 253-nucleotide ribosomal RNA is filed under the name uncultured bacterium. RNAcentral's name for it is "partial 16S ribosomal RNA". It matches the Rfam family "Bacterial small subunit ribosomal RNA", at positions 524 to 775 of the family's 1533-position model. The record is from RNAcentral.
GACGAACCGUGCGAACGUUAUUCGGAAUCAUUGGGCUUAAAGGGCGCGUAGGCGGCGGCGUAAGUUGGAAGUGAAAUCCCAUCGGCUCAACCGUGGAAUUGCUCCCAGUACUGCGUCGCUCGAGGGGGAUAGGGGUCUGCGGAACUACCGGUGGAGCGGUGAAAUGUGUUGAUAUCGGUGGGAACGCCAGGGGCGAAAGCGGCAGACUGGACCCUUCCGGACGCGGAUGCGCGAAAGCUAGGGGAGCAACGGG